This 253-nucleotide ribosomal RNA is filed under the name uncultured bacterium. RNAcentral's name for it is "partial 16S ribosomal RNA". It matches the Rfam family "Bacterial small subunit ribosomal RNA", at positions 524 to 776 of the family's 1533-position model. The record is from RNAcentral.
UACGUAGGGUGCAAGCGUUGUCCGGAAUUAUUGGGCGUAAAGAGCUCGUAGGCGGUUUGUUGCGUCGGCUGUGAAAUCCCGAGGCUCAACCUCGGGUCUGCAGUCGAUACGAGCAAACUAGAGUGUUGCAGGGGAGACUGGAAUUCCUGGUGUAGCGGUGAAAUGCACAGAUAUCAGGAGGAACACCGGUGGCGAAGGCGGGUCUCUGGGCAACAACUGACGCUGAGGAGCGAAAGCGUGGGGAGCAAACAGG